Molecule: ribosomal RNA, 251 nt
Filed under: uncultured Gardnerella sp.
Lineage: Bacteria; Bacillati; Actinomycetota; Actinomycetes; Bifidobacteriales; Bifidobacteriaceae
Description: partial 16S ribosomal RNA
Rfam family: Bacterial small subunit ribosomal RNA
Source: RNAcentral
GGGUAGAGUAAUGCGUGACCAACCUGCCCCAUGCUCCAGAAUAGCUCUUGGAAACGGGUGGUAAUGCUGGAUGCUCCAACUUGACGCAUGUCUUGUUGGGAAAGUGUUUAGUGGCAUGGGAUGGGGUCGCGUCCUAUCAGCUUGUAGGCGGGGUAAUGGCCCACCUAGGCUUCGACGGGUAGCCGGCCUGAGAGGGCGGACGGCCACAUUGGGACUGAGAUACGGCCCAGACUCCUACGGGAGGCAGCAGC